RNAcentral lists this transfer RNA (77 nucleotides) under Candidatus Vesicomyidisocius calyptogenae. RNAcentral describes it as "Candidatus Vesicomyosocius okutanii HA tRNA-Met-CAT-3-1". It matches the Rfam family "tRNA". Rfam says of the family: Transfer RNA (tRNA) molecules are approximately 80 nucleotides in length. Their secondary structure includes four short double-helical elements and three loops (D, anti-codon, and T loops). RNAcentral also lists the same sequence under 5 other names. The record is from RNAcentral. Lineage: Bacteria; Pseudomonadati; Pseudomonadota; Gammaproteobacteria; Pseudothioglobaceae (SeqCode).
UGCGGGGUGGAGCAGUUUGGUAGCUCGUCGGGCUCAUAACCCGAAGGUCAUAGGUUCAAAUCCUGUCCCCGCUACCA